ACAAUUAGCUGUUGGGACACUAGAUGUCUUAGUAGCGAAGCUAACGCGUGAAAUUGUCCGCCUGGGGAGUACGGUCGCAAGAUUAAAACUCAAAGGAAUUGACGGGGACCCGCACAAGCGGUGGAUGAUGUGGAUUAAUUCGAUGCAACGCGAAGAACCUUACCUGGUCUUGACAUGUACGGAAUCUCUUAGAGAUAGGAGAGUGCCUUCGGGAACCGUAACACAGGUGCUGCAUGGCUGUCGUCAGCUCGUGUCGUGAGAUGUUGGGUUAAGUCCCGCAACGAGCGCAACCCUUGUCAUUAGUUGCCAUCAUUAAGUUGGGCACUCUAAUGAGACUGCCGGUGAUAUGCCGGAGGAAGGUGGGGAUGACGUCAAGUCCUCAUGGCCCUUAUGACCAGGGCUUCACACGUCAUACAAUGGUCGGUACAGAGGGUAGCGAAGCCGCGAGGUGAAGCCAAUCUCAGAAAGCCGAUCGUAGUCCGGAUUGCACUCUGCAACUCGAGUGCAUGAAGUCGGAAUCGCUAGUAAUCGCAGGUCAGCAUACUGCGGUGAA
This 553-nucleotide ribosomal RNA is filed under the name uncultured Neisseriaceae bacterium. RNAcentral's name for it is "bacterial SSU rRNA". It matches the Rfam family "Bacterial small subunit ribosomal RNA", at positions 812 to 1366 of the family's 1533-position model. The record is from RNAcentral. Lineage: Bacteria; Pseudomonadati; Pseudomonadota; Betaproteobacteria; Neisseriales; Neisseriaceae.